Molecule: small RNA, 556 nt
Filed under: Pan troglodytes (chimpanzee)
Lineage: Eukaryota; Metazoa; Chordata; Mammalia; Primates; Hominidae
Description: retained intron
Source: RNAcentral
CGGCCGCGUUUGAAGGAUGACCUCUAGGAAGAAAGUGUUGCUGAAGGUUAUCAUCCUGGGAGAUUCUGGAGUCGGGAAGACAUCACUCAUGAACCAGUAUGUGAAUAAGAAAUUCAGCAAUCAGUACAAAGCCACAAUAGGAGCUGACUUUCUGACCAAGGAGGUGAUGGUGGAUGACAGGCUAGUCACAAUGCAGGUAAGCACAUGUCUUGGCUGUGCUGACCAGGCCUUGAUAGUUCAUUUAGUCUUAAUCUUUCCUCAUGCAUAGACAUUUUCCUUCCCUGUUCUUCAAAUCUUAUUAUCCUAUUUGUAGAUCAUUGGCUGAUACUCAGUUAAAUUUGAAUUUCAGAUCAAUAGUGAAUACUUUUUUAGUAUACUUCUAGUGUAUCUCAGAUACGACUUGCUAAGACACACUAAAAAAUUCUUCUUCUUAAAAAAAAAACUCAGAUUUAUCCUUUCUUGUUUUUUGUUGUUUUUGGUUUUGUUGUUUGCUAAAUUUGGCAACCUGCAGGUCUCUGUCUUGUGCCUCUCUUGACAUCCUUGCCCAGUGCUUUAG